This 433-nucleotide ribosomal RNA is filed under the name uncultured bacterium. RNAcentral describes it as "partial 16S ribosomal RNA". It matches the Rfam family "Bacterial small subunit ribosomal RNA", at positions 28 to 507 of the family's 1533-position model. The record is from RNAcentral.
GACGAACGCUGGCGGCGUGCCUAACACAUGCAAGUCGAACGGAAACUUCCGGCUUUGGUGGGGAACGGUGGGUGCCACCGGGGGACCUGCCCUUUAGUUCCGUAUCACUCCCCGUAAGGUGUCCUCAUAACAGUUAAUCUCUUCCCGCCAAAGAUUUAUUGCCUUUGGAUGGGGCCGCGUUGGAUUCGCUAGUUGGUAGGGUAAAAGCCUACCAAGGCGACGAUCCAUAGCUGGUCUGUGAGGAGGAUCAGCCACACUGGGAAUGAGACACGGCCCAGCGUCCGACGGGAGGCAGCAGUGGGGAAUAUUGGACAAGGGGCGAAAGCCUGAUCCAGCAAUGCCGCGGGAGUGAUGAAGGCCGUAGGGUUGUAAAGCUCUUUUACCCGGGAUGAUAAUGACAGUACCGGGAGAAUAAGCUCCGGCUAACUCCGUG